Lycium barbarum (goji berry) is the source of this 2394-nucleotide long non-coding RNA. RefSeq lists it as uncharacterized. The transcript has 6 exons. The record is from RefSeq and is a predicted model, not a curated record. Lineage: Eukaryota; Viridiplantae; Streptophyta; Magnoliopsida; Solanales; Solanaceae.
UUCAAAGAGUUAACAAAACUUCCCAUUACCAAUAUCAGUGUAGCCUAAGAUACGGGUCUAUCGAUUUUGGCUCAGUCUUUUCUCAAAAAUCAGUCCCAUUUUGGUUAAAAUUGGUUGAGUCCGCCCACUAAUACAUUGUGCUACCGAAAAAUAUGGAGAAUUUCAGAUAUGGAGCGACAUAUAUGGAAGAAAAAAUAAAUUGGCGUUUGAAGAAGACGGGGAAAGGAAGCGAGCGCUAUUGGAAGAACAUUCUCAUAGUGUUCAAGACUUUUUUGAGGUGUUUGCAGGUUCUUAUCUAUCCUCUGUUUUGUUUAAUCAUAUUGAGAUCUAAUUCUUUGUUAUUGUAGUAUUUAAAAUAAUAGUAUUUUUGUGUUCUGAAAGUAUCUUAAAAAAAUUUCUUUCAUAUCGUCUCUUCAUAUUUGUUUGUAGUCUAACUAGAUGGUAUAUGUGCUCAAUUAUCCAGCUUUUAGGAAACAGGGGUAUUUGGGAUAUAUGAAGCUCAUGUACUAGUAGCAGUUAGGGGUAGCUUCAAGCCAUAUAGAGCUUUUUACUUUCUUUAAUGAAUUUGUUACCAUGCACGUCACCUCGGCGGUGAGGUAAUUUUUGUGGCAUGUGACCGCACGUUUAUGUGGAUGUUGGUUUAUAUAAGCAAUUGUUGCUCUUCAGAACUGAAUCAGUUGUUGUUGUUUUUGUCGUUGUUGAAAUUGCUGUGAGGAUGAAAAUGAAAGACAAAAUGAAAUUUUAUGUUAGAGUGAAUUAUGAAAGCUAAUAGGAGUACAAGAAAAGGAAAAGGAAAAUAUAAUAUGGACUAACAUGGUACUUGUAGUUUUCAUGUUAUGGUGUUUGAUGAUAAUGGUUGUGGCAUUUCUUUUUCUUUUUUAAAAAAAAAUGAGAAGGAGUUUAGUGUGUACACUUUAAAGGUUUGAUUUUUGGCAUAUUACUGUACACCUAGAGAUGGAGCUAUGAUUUUGAGUUUAUCAGUUCUAGUUAUAAAAAUUACAGCUUACUUGGUUUUUGAUAAGUUAUUUAUACGUAUUAAAUAAAUACAGGGUUUUUAUCAGUUCUAGUUAUAAAAAUUGCAGCUUACUUGGUUUUUGAUAAGUUAUUUAUACGUAUUAAAUAAAUACAGGGUUUGAGCUAAAGUUAUUGGGUUAUGCCGAAACCGUAUACAAUGCUAGCUGCUAGUAUGCUAUGCUAUUGUUGUUGAGUUCUGUACUUCUGUGCUGAGUUCUGGUUUUAUAAGUUUGUUUAUUUUGCUUUCUGUUAUCCAAAAGUAAUGGCUAUGACCCGUAUAAUACUGAUAUUGAGCGCUUAGCUCAUCGUCCAAAGAGGGUUGCAGAAGAUCAGUGGCGUUCAUUAGUUCAUUAUUGGAGUUCAAAAGAAGCAAAGGUAUUCCAUUAAUAUCAAUAAUCAUUUUCUGCUGCUCCUUGACUAUUAUCUCAUAUAUUAUUGUGUUUAUCUUUUCUAGGAAAAGAGCGAGAGAAACAAAGAAAGUCGAAAAAAGUUGACUAUGCCACACACAUCCGGAAGAAAAAGUCUUGCUCAAAUUAUAGAUGAUAUGACAAAAGAGAAUACUGGUGUAAAGCCAACUCGUAUUGAGGUGUGGAAAAAAACUCACACUAGAGAGAAUAAACAACCAGUAAAUGACAUAGCCGGUGAAGUUAUGAAACAAAUGGAUGAUCUUGCUGAGGUGUAUCCCGAGUUAAAUGUCCCUGGAAGUGCUCGCAAUGAUAUAUAUUCACAAGUAAUGGGACCAGACACUCAUGGGAUUAUUUGAACUCUAGGAAAAGGAGCAGCUCCAAGUUUAGUUUAUGGCCCAGUAUAUAAACGAUCACAGUUGGAGCAAUGAGAUUUUGAUGCAAGGGUUGAGAUAGAAGUUCAAAAAGCUACCAUAGCAAUCCAAAUUGAUAUGGAUAAAAAGUUGGCUGAAGCAAAACAAAAUAUGGAAGCAAAACUGGAUGAAAGAAUGGAUGAAAAGGUGAAGGAAAAAGUGAAGGCUGAGAUGCAAGCAUACAUACAGAGUAUCGGUUUUAUGAAUGGCUCAAACAGUAAAUCAAUCAGUAAUGAAGAGCUUUCCCAUAACUCAGUUGAAGACCGCCAACAAUCAUUAUCUCCUGUAUCAGUUGUUCCAACAAAAAAGCACUUUUGAAGAGUGUGUGAUACCAAUUAUUGGCAAGUGAUGCUUGAAUUAUAGAAAGAUGAAUUCCAUUUGUCUUGUUGCAGAAUUUAUUCUAGAAAUUUAGGGAAUUAAAGAGAAAGUUUGGCGUAGUUUCAUGUUGAAAUCACUUUAGCUUUUAUGUUUUAGUUAGAAUUUGUUUUAUUUGAGAUAGAACAACAAGUCCUUUGAUUUGACAGCGUCUAACUUGCAAGGAGACCUUUCUCUGUUAUGUCCUU